This 682-nucleotide long non-coding RNA is filed under the name Salmo salar (Atlantic salmon). RNAcentral describes it as "lncRNA (ENSSSAG00000092931.1)". The record is from RNAcentral. Lineage: Eukaryota; Metazoa; Chordata; Actinopteri; Salmoniformes; Salmonidae.
GUUUAAUACCAGCAGCAUUAACAGGAUGUAAAGUAACCAGGUGGUUUAAUACCAGCAGCAUUAACAGGAUGUAAAGCAACCAGGUGGUUUAAUACCAGCAGCAUUAACAGGAUGUAAAGCAACCAGGUGGUUUAAUACCAGCAGCAUUAACAGGAUGUAAAGCAACCAGGUGGUUUAAUACCAGCAGCAUUAACAGGAUGUAAAGCAACCAGGUUUAAUACCAGGAGCAUUAACAGGAUGUAAAGCAACCAGGUGGUUUAAUACCAGCAGCAUUAACAGGAUGUAAAGUAACCAGGUGGUUUAAUACCAGCAGCAUUAACAGGAUGUAAAGCAACCAGGUGGUUUAAUACCAGCAGCAUUAACAGGAUGUAAAGUAACCAGGUGGUUUAAUACCAGCAGCAUUAACAGGAUGUAAAGUAACCAGGUGGUAUAAUACCAGCAGCAUUAACAGGAUGUAAAGCAACCAGGUGGUUUAAUACCAGCAGCAUUAACAGGAUGUAAAGCAACCAGGUGGUUUAAUACCAGCAGCAUUAACAGGAUGUAAAGUAACCAGGUGGUUUAAUACCAGCAGCAUUAACAGGAUGUAAAGCAACCAGGUGGUUUAAUACCAGCAGCAUUAACAGGAUGUAAAGCAACCAGGUGGUUUAAUACCAGCAGCAUUAACAGGAUGUAAAGCAACCAG